CGAUAACGAACGAGACCUUGACCUGCUAAAUAGCCCAACUCACUUUUGUGGGUUGCUGGCUUCUUAGAGGGACUUUUGGCUCAAGCCAAUGGAAGUACGAGGCAAAAACAGGUCUGUGAUGCCCUUAGAUGUUCUGGGCCGCACGCGCGCUACACUGACAGGGCCAGCGAGUACAUCACCUUGGCCGAAAGGUCUGGGUAAUCUUGUUAAACCCUGUCGUGCUGGGGAUAGAGCAUUGCAAUUAUCGCUCUUCAACGAGGAAUGCCUAGUAAGCGCAAGUCAUCAGCUUGCGUUGAUUACGUCCCUGCCCUUUGUACACACCGCCCGUCGCUACUACCGAUUGAAUGGCU
RNAcentral lists this ribosomal RNA (350 nucleotides) under uncultured fungus. RNAcentral's name for it is "SSU rRNA". It matches the Rfam family "Eukaryotic small subunit ribosomal RNA", at positions 1326 to 1698 of the family's 1831-position model. Lineage: Eukaryota; Fungi. The record is from RNAcentral.